This 464-nucleotide ribosomal RNA is filed under the name Vreelandella stevensii. RNAcentral describes it as "partial 16S ribosomal RNA". It matches the Rfam family "Bacterial small subunit ribosomal RNA", at positions 338 to 795 of the family's 1533-position model. Lineage: Bacteria; Pseudomonadati; Pseudomonadota; Gammaproteobacteria; Oceanospirillales; Halomonadaceae. The record is from RNAcentral.
CCUACGGGGGGCUGCAGUGGGGAAUAUUGGACAAUGGGCGAAAGCCUGAUCCAGCCAUGCUGCGUGUGUGAAGAAGGCCUUCGGGUUGUAAAGCACUUUCAGUGGGGAAGAAAGCCUUGGGGCUAAUACCCUCGAGGAAGGACAUCACCCACAGAAGAAGCACCGGCUAACUCCGUGCCAGCAGCCGCGGUAAUACGGAGGGUGCGAGCGUUAAUCGGAAUUACUGGGCGUAAAGCGCGCGUAGGCGGUCUGAUAAGCCGGUUGUGAAAGCCCCGGGCUCAACCUGGGAACGGCAUCCGGAACUGUCAGGCUAGAGUGCAGGAGAGGAAGGUAGAAUUCCCGGUGUAGCGGUGAAAUGCGUAGAGAUCGGGAGGAAUACCAGUGGCGAAGGCGGCCUUCUGGACUGACACUGACGCUGAGGUGCGAAAGCGUGGGUAGCAAACAGGAUUAGAUCCCCUGUAGUC